AACGAACGCUGGCGGCAGGCUUAACACAUGCAAGUCGAACGCCCCGCAAGGGGAGUGGCAGACGGGUGAGUAACGCGUGGGAACAUACCCUUUCCUGCGGAAUAGCUCUGGGAAACUGGAAUUAAUACCGCAUACGCCCUACGGGGGAAAGAUUUAUCGGGGAAGGAUUGGCCCGCGUUGGAUUAGCUAGUUGGUGGGGUAAAGGCCUACCAAGGCGACGAUCCAUAGCUGGUCUGAGAGGAUGAUCAGCCACAUUGGGACUGAGACACGGCCCAAACUCCUACGGGGGGCAGCAGUGGGGAAUAUUGGACAAUGGGCGCAAGCCUGAUCCAGCCAUGCCGCGUGAGUGAUGAAGGCCUUAGGGUUGUAAAGCUCUUUCACCGAUGAAGAUAAUGACGGUAGUCGGAGAAGAAGCCCCGGCUAACUUCGUGCCAGCAGCCGCAGUAA
Molecule: ribosomal RNA, 447 nt
Filed under: uncultured bacterium
Lineage: Bacteria
Description: partial 16S ribosomal RNA
Rfam family: Bacterial small subunit ribosomal RNA
Source: RNAcentral